UGAUUCUAACAUUGGUAACAAGUAUCAAAGAGUUGUGCUUUGAGUUUCCAAGUUCUUGAUGGUACAAUUUAGUAAUAGUAUCACAUUCUUGUGGUUCGGUCCUUCCUUGAAUUUCACGUAUAGCGGGAGCCUACUACAUUAGAUUGCCUUUUUAAAAAGAUUUAGUAUUAGUAUCAGAUCCUUGUGGUUCGGCUCUUCCUAGUACCUCAUGCACAGCGGAAGCCUAUUGCAUUGGAUUGCCUUUAUUAAAAGAUUUGGUGUCAGUUCCUUGUGGUCCGGCCCUUCCUUGAACCGGCUCUUCCUAGUACCUCGUGCAUAGUGGAAGCCUAUUGCAUUGGAUUGCCUGGUGUCAGUUCCUUGUGGUCCGGCCCUUCCUUGAACCUCAUGCAUAGCGGGAACCUGCUGCAUCAGAUUGCCUUUAUUAAAAGAUUUAGUAUUGGUGUCAGAUUCUUGUGGUCUGGUUCUUUCUUGAAUCCCACGCAUAACGAGAGUUUAGUGCAUUGGAUUGUCUUUUUUCAAAAAAUGUAGUACUAGUAUCAGAUCCUUGU
This 548-nucleotide long non-coding RNA is filed under the name Capsicum annuum. RNAcentral's name for it is "long non-coding RNA (CANN_LNC016718)". The record is from RNAcentral. Lineage: Eukaryota; Viridiplantae; Streptophyta; Magnoliopsida; Solanales; Solanaceae.